This 400-nucleotide ribosomal RNA is filed under the name uncultured bacterium. RNAcentral describes it as "bacterial SSU rRNA". It matches the Rfam family "Bacterial small subunit ribosomal RNA", at positions 355 to 747 of the family's 1533-position model. The record is from RNAcentral.
UCGAGAAUCAUUCGCAAUGGGCGAAAGCCUGACGAUGCGACGCCGUGUGAGCGAUGAAGGCCUUUGGGUUGUAAAGCUCUUUCGCCUGGGAACAAGAGAAGUGGAUUAAUAAUCCCCUAAUUUGAGGGUACCAGGUAAAGAAGCACCGGCUAACUCCGUGCCAGCAGCUGCGGUAAUACGGAGGGUGCAAGCAUUAAUCGGAUUUAUUGGGCGUAAAGGGCGCGUAGGCGGGAAUGUAAGUCGGAUGUUAAAGAUCGGGGCUCAACCUCGAAAGAGCAUUUGAUACUGCGUUUCUAGAGGGUAGACGGAGAAAAUAGAAUUCCACAAGUAGCGGUGAAAUGCGUAGAUAUGUGGAGGAAUACCGGUGGCGAAGGCGGUUUUCUAGUUUAUACCUGACGCU